GGGGGUGAUUAGGUUUCGACAGGGAAUCAGGGUGUGAGUGAUGCAUGCCGGAGAUGCUGUCCACUCCGUUACCAAGCAGCAAACAAAAUUAACUGCAAACUACAAUUACGCAUUAGCAGCAUAGGCUGCUACGUUUAACCCGUCCGAACCGACGGGAUGGGAUUAAGCGUCGGAACAGUUCGGUUGCACUGGCACGAAUGCCCAUAAGUGCCAGUUAAGAUUAUGGGCUUGGUCAUAGCAGGUCUGAUCGUCUUGCACUGCUAUGACAACACUUAAAGACGACUAAGCAUGUAGAUUCGCUCAUAGUCGGUUCUUUGGACGCGGGUUCGAUUCCCGCCACCUCCACCA
Molecule: transfer-messenger RNA, 348 nt
Filed under: Candidatus Cloacimonadota bacterium
Lineage: Bacteria; Pseudomonadati; Candidatus Cloacimonadota
Also listed under: 3 other names
Description: Candidatus Cloacimonetes bacterium transfer-messenger RNA
Rfam family: transfer-messenger RNA
About the family: Bacterial tmRNA, also known as 10Sa RNA or SsrA, is named for its dual tRNA and mRNA-like properties. Its role is to liberate the mRNA from a stalled ribosome.
Source: RNAcentral